AUUUCGAUUUUUUUUUUUAAUUUUAUUUUUACUUUUCCCAACCCCUGUCAUUUAAAAAUCACAUAAUUAAUUGCGCACAUCCUGUGCCACGCGGGGCUGCCGCGGCUUUGAAGUCCCCAUAGAUCAUUUUGCAGAGCCGUGGGUGCCGUUCCUUCCAGCGCGGCACCCGGCGCCAGCGCGAGCCCGGGUGGAAUUUAGCAUAUCCUACUCCAGAAAUCUGCCCGCGUGACCCAUGGGGACAGGAAUGAAACCGCCAUUCAUUCAAGAGGGCUUUGCCACCGAGACGCCACCGAGGUGCCACCGCUUCCGAGGCAGAGAGCCGCGGCCGGCUGGACAAAUAACGUGCUUCGUGCUGCUCAGGAGCCAGGUCCAGUUAGCAUAGGAGGGGAGCAGGUAAACAGGAUUUUCCCCUUCAAGAGACCAGAGAAAACUCCUUUUAAACUCUUCUGUGUGUGUGUGUGUGUGUUACAGGUGCUAGAGCAGAACAAACUAAAACUUGGUGUAGAGCAAACCAAAGUUCGGUAUUAGAGGUUUCCUCCAAUGAAGCCACACAAAGUUAUGUGGAGCUGGCACUGCAGGCUGUGAUUUUGGGACACAUCUUUAACGAAGAGUAGGGACUCACGGCUGAGCAUGGUCAUCAUUCCCACCUCCCUUCAGCUGACAACUGAGAGGCAGAACCCAGGUUCCUAACCCGGCCCAGAAGCGGUUAUAGUCCAGUAGAUACUAUAGGUGUAGAAAGCUCUGGAAAUCUUUACUUUGGGACAAAAGACACCAUGCAGUUGUGAAACAGUAUCAUCACUAUUGAGUUAUUCUAACAGUGCUACUGAACACAUGGGUUGAGAGAGAAGAAGCAUGAUGGACAGAUUGCCUUCAAGCCAUUUGAAGGUUGUUCAUUCCCUAAACUCUACACUUUUACCUACCUGUUUCUUAAAGCUACCCAGAAGUUGCUUUAAAAUUGUGCCUUUCAUCUGCAAUUCUAGAACCUUUCCAUAGUUUGAGUUCUUAAAUUAGAAUUUAUCUUUACACUAACACAAGCUGGCAAAAAGUUAUAAGUGACUUUCGAGAUCUCUGCAAAUAACAAAUUUGCUGAUUAGCUAGCUGAUGCAAAAAAAUUGAAAAAAACCUUUGCUUCUAGUUAACUUAAAAUGACAGAAAUUCCAGUUUCAUUUUGAAAAUGAUUUUAAAUCUUUCUACAAUUAAAUAUAGGCCUCUUUGGAAAGAAAAUGUUUUGCACAUUGAAGCAUUUCUAUGUCAAAAGCACUACCAAUGACCGACGUUGAUAGUCUUGAAUUUUUUUUCUCAUUUGUAUUAGUCAAAACUAUGGUGGAAUGCAAAGUUUGGAAACAGAUCAUGUCCACUGAAAACUACAUUUGUUGACAAAUAAAGUGUUUGUGCAAGAAAUUUCA
Molecule: long non-coding RNA, 1406 nt
Filed under: Struthio camelus australis
Lineage: Eukaryota; Metazoa; Chordata; Aves; Struthioniformes; Struthionidae
Description: lncRNA (ENSSCUG00000011818.1)
Source: RNAcentral